RNAcentral lists this non-coding RNA (22 nucleotides) under Arabidopsis thaliana (thale cress). Lineage: Eukaryota; Viridiplantae; Streptophyta; Magnoliopsida; Brassicales; Brassicaceae. The record is from RNAcentral.
UUGAUUUCAGCUUUGGUACACA